AAACCAACAGGGAUUACCUUAGUAACGGCGAGUGAAGCGGUAACAGCUCAAAUUUGAAAUCUGGCUCUUUCAGGGUCCGAGUUGUAAUUUGUAGAAGAUGCUUCGGGUGUGGUCCCGGUCUAAGUUCCUUGGAACAGGACGUCAUAGAGGGUGAGAAUCCCGUAUGUGACUGGGUGCCUUCGCUCAUGUGAAGCUCUUUCGACGAGUCGAGUUGUUUGGGAAUGCAGCUCUAAAUGGGUGGUAUAUUUCAUCUAAAGCUAAAUAUUGGCCAGAGACCGAUAGCGCACAAGUAGAGUGAUCGAAAGAUGAAAAGCACUUUGGAAAGAGAGUUAAACAGUACGUGAAAUUGUUGAAAGGGAAGCGCUUGCAACCAGACUUGCCCGCCGUCGAUCAUCCGGGGUUCUCCCCGGUGCACUCGGCGGCGUUCAGGCCAGCAUCGGUUUCGGGGGUGGGAUAAAGGCCUUGGGAAUGUAGCUUCUUUCGGGGAGUGUUAUAGCCCUCGGUGCAAUGCCGCCUCUUGGGACCGAGGACCGCGCUUCGGCUAGGAUGCUGGCGUAAUGGUUGUAAGCGAC
This 572-nucleotide ribosomal RNA is filed under the name Helotiales sp. OTU16 TS-2013. RNAcentral's name for it is "eukaryotic LSU rRNA". It matches the Rfam family "Eukaryotic large subunit ribosomal RNA", at positions 62 to 648 of the family's 3401-position model. The record is from RNAcentral. Lineage: Eukaryota; Fungi; Ascomycota; Leotiomycetes; Helotiales.